AGAUGAAAAGAUUGAUUCAGAGCAGGAUGAGAAGUGAAGGAAUUUAAUAUGUUAUAUUUAAUAGUGUAGGGUUUGCCCAAAGGAGAAAUUGGGAAAGUUUAAAUUAUUGUUUAUCCUAGAUGAAUUUUGCCUUCAUUAUUUGGUUCUUGAACGUAUGAGAACAAGGCUGGGAUAGUUUGGCACAGAGUGAAGAACAUUGCCUGAAGCAUUGAAGUUGAACUUGUGAUCGGUUUUCUAUAUAUAUAAUUUUGCUAGUUCGUCCCAAUGUUUCUUUGUAUU
RNAcentral lists this unclassified non-coding RNA (279 nucleotides) under Hevea brasiliensis (rubber tree). The record is from RNAcentral. Lineage: Eukaryota; Viridiplantae; Streptophyta; Magnoliopsida; Malpighiales; Euphorbiaceae.